This 691-nucleotide ribosomal RNA is filed under the name Bacillus sp. SK124. Its description in RNAcentral is "bacterial SSU rRNA". It matches the Rfam family "Bacterial small subunit ribosomal RNA", at positions 71 to 746 of the family's 1533-position model. The record is from RNAcentral. Lineage: Bacteria; Bacillati; Bacillota; Bacilli; Caryophanales; Bacillaceae.
GAUGGGAGCUUGCUCCCUGAUGUUAGCGGCGGACGGGUGAGUAACACGUGGGUAACCUGCCUGUAAGACUGGGAUAACUCCGGGAAACCGGGGCUAAUACCGGAUGGUUGUUUGAACCGCAUGGUUCAAACAUAAAAGGUGGCUUCGGCUACCACUUACAGAUGGACCCGCGGCGCAUUAGCUAGUUGGUGAGGUAACGGCUCACCAAGGCAACGAUGCGUAGCCGACCUGAGAGGGUGAUCGGCCACACUGGGACUGAGACACGGCCCAGACUCCUACGGGAGGCAGCAGUAGGGAAUCUUCCGCAAUGGACGAAAGUCUGACGGAGCAACGCCGCGUGAGUGAUGAAGGUUUUCGGAUCGUAAAGCUCUGUUGUUAGGGAAGAACAAGUACCGUUCGAAUAGGGCGGUACCUUGACGGUACCUAACCAGAAAGCCACGGCUAACUACGUGCCAGCAGCCGCGGUAAUACGUAGGUGGCAAGCGUUGUCCGGAAUUAUUGGGCGUAAAGGGCUCGCAGGCGGUUUCUUAAGUCUGAUGUGAAAGCCCCCGGCUCAACCGGGGAGGGUCAUUGGAAACUGGGGAACUUGAGUGCAGAAGAGGAGAGUGGAAUUCCACGUGUAGCGGUGAAAUGCGUAGAGAUGUGGAGGAACACCAGUGGCGAAGGCGACUCUCUGGUCUGUAACUGACGC